This 500-nucleotide ribosomal RNA is filed under the name uncultured bacterium. RNAcentral describes it as "partial 16S ribosomal RNA". It matches the Rfam family "Bacterial small subunit ribosomal RNA", at positions 30 to 523 of the family's 1533-position model. The record is from RNAcentral.
AUUGAACGCUGGCGGCAUGCCUUACACAUGCAAGUCGAACGGCAGCAUGGGAGUAAUCCUGGUGGCGAGUGGCGAACGGGUGAGUAAUGUAUCGGAACGUGCCCAAUCGUGGGGGAUAACGCAGCGAAAGCUGUGCUAAUACCGCAUACGAUCUAUGGAUGAAAGCGGGGGAUCGCAAGACCUCGCGCGAUUGGAGCGGCCGAUAUCAGAUUAGCUAGUUGGUGGGGUAAAAGCUUACCAAGGCGACGAUCUGUAGCUGGUCUGAGAGGACGACCAGCCACACUGGAACUGAGACACGGUCCAGACUCCUACGGGAGGCAGCAGUGGGGAAUUUUGGACAAUGGGCGCAAGCCUGAUCCAGCAAUGCCGCGUGCAGGAUGAAGGCCUUCGGGUUGCAAACUGCUUUUGUACGGAGCGAAAAGGCUCUCUCUAAUACAGGGGGCUCAUGACGGUACCGUAAGAAUAAGCACCGGCUAACUACGUGCCAGCAGCCGCAGUAA